This 438-nucleotide ribosomal RNA is filed under the name Paenibacillus sp. RNAcentral's name for it is "bacterial SSU rRNA". It matches the Rfam family "Bacterial small subunit ribosomal RNA", at positions 334 to 765 of the family's 1533-position model. The record is from RNAcentral. Lineage: Bacteria; Bacillati; Bacillota; Bacilli; Caryophanales; Paenibacillaceae.
UACUCCUACGGGGAGGCAGCAGUAGGGAAUCUUCCGCAAUGGGCGAAAGCCUGACGGAGCAAUGCCGCGUGAGUGAUGAAGGUUUUCGGAUCGUAAAGCUCUGUUGCCAGGGAAGAACGCUUGGGAGAGUAACUGCUCUCAAGGUGACGGUACCUGAGAAGAAAGCCCCGGCUAACUACGUGCCAGCAGCCGCGGUAAUACGUAGGGGGCAAGCGUUGUCCGGAAUUAUUGGGCGUAAAGCGCGCGCAGGCGGUCAUGUAAGUCUGGUGUUUAAUCCCGGGGCUCAACCCCGGAUCGCACUGGAAACUGCGUGACUUGAGUGCAGAAGAGGAGAGUGGAAUUCCACGUGUAGCGGUGAAAUGCGUAGAGAUGUGGAGGAACACCAGUGGCGAAGGCGACUCUCUGGGCUGUAACUGACGCUGAGCGCGAAUGCUGCUC